This 337-nucleotide ribosomal RNA is filed under the name uncultured bacterium. RNAcentral's name for it is "bacterial SSU rRNA". It matches the Rfam family "Bacterial small subunit ribosomal RNA", at positions 1 to 334 of the family's 1533-position model. The record is from RNAcentral.
ACACGUGAUUCAGAGUUUGAUCCUGGCUCAGAUUGAACGCUGGCGGCGUGCCUAACACAUGCAAGUCGAGCGGUAACAGGUGUAGCAAUACAUGCUGACGAGCGGCGAACGGGUGAGUAAUGCUUCGGAAUCUACCUUAUGGUGGGGAAUAACUAGCCGAAAGGUUAGCUAAUACCGCAUACGUCCUACGGGAGAAAGCAGGGGAUCGCAAGACCUUGCGCCAAAAGAUGAGCCGAAGUCGGAUUAGCUAGUUGGUAGGGUAACGGCCUACCAAAGCGACGAUCCGUAGCUGGUCUGAGAGGACGACCAGCCACACUGGGACUGAGACACGGCCCAG